This 991-nucleotide long non-coding RNA is filed under the name Homo sapiens (human). RNAcentral describes it as "HSALNT0161183". The record is from RNAcentral. Lineage: Eukaryota; Metazoa; Chordata; Mammalia; Primates; Hominidae.
CUCUCCUUGUGUCUAGGUGACACUGUCAGUCAAAGACCCACGGGGGCUGGCGCUGCAGGAAGAAAUGGAAAUGGGACUUGGCACAGUUUAACCCCCGCCCCUACCACCACCAUGGCUUAUCACCUAUACAAGGGAGUUCAGCAUUGAAGAAAAGAAAAAGGAGCAGAUGAAAAGAUUUGAUUUUGAUAUUCUCCUAGAUUUCUGACCAGACUUGGGUUGAAAUGCCGAAUUACCAUGUGAAAACCCAGUGGCAGGGUACCGUCUUCUAAUUUAAAGCAAAACAAGAAAAAGGGCCACCCUUUACCACGGUUCAGAAAAACCUGGAACAUGGUAUCAUGAACCAAAGAAGUUUGGGUAAGGAAAUCGGAAACCUAGAAAGCAGAUUGGAGCAAGCAUCCACACAAGGAGUGUCCCACAAUUAUAGUGGAAUGAUGAACAAGGGGUAGGACAGCAUGGUGAUUCUAUGGACAAUCCUUCGAGGAAUGCCAUCUGUCUCACAGUGGUAGAAACACCAUUAUCUGUGAACUGUCCUGAUGGGAAGCCCAGAGUCUCAGGCAGGCCCCACUCACAGGUAGACCUGAACAGCCGAGUCAUGCUCUGGUCUCCACACAUCCUUACUGAACCCCAGGCUUCACUGGAAGCAGAGCAGCAAAGAAGGAGAGAAGAGAAGAAGCAGCUUAACAUCAGUGAGAAGCAGCUUGACUUCAGAGGGACGGCUUGAUGGUGGAAUCUCAGAGAGAGUUCAGCUGGGGACGGCCAGACUCCAGGAGAAGAUCACAUUCCCACUCCAUUCCCUUUCCAGCUCUCCAUCCCACUGACAGCCACUUUCAUCAGCAAUAAAAUCUCCUGAAUUUACCAUCUUCAACUCAUUUGUGUGACCCAAUUCUUCCUGGACACCGAACAAGAGCUCGAGAUACAGAGGGUUGUCACACUGAGCUGUUAAACACCUAAGCUGUCCACGGAUGGCAAAGCUAAAAGAGCACACUGUAAC